GAAGGUUGGGUAACACUAACUGGAGGACCGAACCGACUAAUGUUGAAAAAUUAGCGGAUGACUUGUGGCUGGGGGUGAAAGGCCAAUCAAACCGGGAGAUAGCUGGUUCUCCCCGAAAGCUAUUUAGGUAGCGCCUCGUGAAUUCAUCUCCGGGGGUAGAGCACUGUUUCGGCAAGGGGGUCAUCCCGACUUACCAACCCGAUGCAAACUGCGAAUACCGGAGAAUGUUAUCACGGGAGACACACGGCGGGUGCUAACGUCCGUCGUGAAGAGGGAAACAACCCAGACCGCCAGCUAAGGUCCCAAAGUCAUGGUUAAGUGGGAAACGAUGUGGGAAGGCCCAGACAGCCAGGAUGUUGGCUUAGAAGCAGCCAUCAUUUAAAGAAAGCGUAAUAGCUCACUGGUCGAGUCGGCCUGCGCGGAAGAUGUAACGGGGCUAAACCAUGCACCGAAGCUGCGGCAGCGACACUAUGUGUUGUUGGGUAGGGGAGCGUUCUGUAAGCCUGUGAAGGUGGCCUGUGAGGGUUGCUGGAGGUAUCAGAAGUGCGAAUGCUGACAUAAGUAACGAUAAAGCGGGUGAAAAGCCCGCUCGCCGGAAGACCAAGGGUUCCUGUCCAACGUUAAUCGGGGCAGGGUGAGUCGACCCCUAAGGCGAGGCCGAAAGGCGUAGUCGAUGGGAAACAGGUUAAUAUUCCUGUACUUGGUGUUACUGCGAAGGGGGGACGGAGAAGGCUAUGUUGGCCGGGCGACGGUUGUCCCGGUUUAAGCGUGUAGGCUGGUUUUCCAGGCAAAUCCGGAAAACCAAGGCUGAGGCGUGAUGACGAGGCACUACGGUGCUGAAGUGACAAAUGCCCUGCUUCCAGGAAAAGCCUCUAAGCAUCAGGUAACAUCAAAUCGUACCCCAAACCGACACAGGUGGUCAGGUAGAGAAUACCAAGGCGCUUGAGAGAACUCGGGUGAAGGAACUAGGCAAAAUGGUGCCGUAACUUCGGGAGAAGGCACGCUGAUAUGUAGGUGAAGCGACUUGCUCGUGGAGCUGAAAUCAGUCGAAGAUACCAGCUGGCUGCAACUGUUUAUUAAAAACACAGCACUGUGCAAACACGAAAGUGGACGUAUACGGUGUGACGCCUGCCCGGUGCCGGAAGGUUAAUUGAUGGGGUUAGCGGUAACGCGAAGCUCUUGAUCGAAGCCCCGGUAAACGGCGGCCGUAACUAUAACGGUCCUAAGGUAGCGAAAUUCCUUGUCGGGUAAGUUCCGACCUGCACGAAUGGCGUAAUGAUGGCCAGGCUGUCUCCACCCGAGACUCAGUGAAAUUGAACUCGCUGUGAAGAUGCAGUGUACCCGCGGCAAGACGGAAAGACCCCGUGAACCUUUACUAUAGCUUGACACUGAACAUUGAGCCUUGAUGUGUAGGAUAGGUGGGAGGCUUUGAAGUGUGGACGCCAGUCUGCAUGGAGCCGACCUUGAAAUACCACCCUUUAAUGUUUGAUGUUCUAACGUUGGCCCGUAAUCCGGGUUGCGGACAGUGUCUGGUGGGUAGUUUGACUGGGGCGGUCUCCUCCUAAAGAGUAACGGAGGAGCACGAAGGUUGGCUAAUCCUGGUCGGACAUCAGGAGGUUAGUGCAAUGGCAUAAGCCAGCUUGACUGCGAGCGUGACGGCGCGAGCAGGUGCGAAAGCA
Molecule: ribosomal RNA, 1679 nt
Filed under: human gut metagenome
Description: bacterial LSU rRNA
Rfam family: Bacterial large subunit ribosomal RNA
Source: RNAcentral